GGUCCAAACAGGGGAGACUUGAACCAGAUCAUCGGGCAUUUUCCGUGGAAAUGAACUACAUGGGAAUUCCCUUUUCCUGCACGGUUUUUGAUAUUGAAGGAUUAAUACAAUUACAGUCUUCCCUAUUGGAAAUAACAGUGCAUGUCCCAGUGGCUUGUGGAAGAUGGCUGAACAGGGAUACUGAACAGGGUUCUGUUGGAGGUUUCUUCUUGUUAAAAGUGUGAAUUUCCACUGUCUUCACAUGAUUACCCAGGAUGAAGGGCUGCUGCAUAGUCCAUGGCUCAUUGCAGUUUAUUGGGCUUCCAACUUAUUAUUAUAAAGUAAAUUUGACAGAACUGUAUUGUAACUAGAGCUGACUUGGAAUGUAUACUAUUGAUUUUAAAUCUAUAUGACUGGAUUGUAUUGACUUCUAAUUUCUACAUACAGAUUGGAACUGUUUGUCUGUUAAAGAAAAAUAAGGCCCAGCAUAGAUUGGAUUUACCGCAACAACUCAAGUACAGCCUUUCACAGGAGCUGCUGGUCAUCUUUUACACGGGCAUUAUUUAGUCUGUCCUGUGCACAUUCAUCACAAUGUGGUUUGGCUCAUUCACAAAACAGGACAGGUCCAGACUGCAACAAACAAUUAGGACGGCAGAGAUGAUCAUCAAGGCUGACUUUACCUCCAUCUUGGACUUGUACAGGUAAAGGGCAACUAUCACCUCUGCAGACCCCACACAUCCCAGAAACAAACUGUUUAGACUGUUAACUUCAGGUUGGCGGUACAGUUCACUAUUUACAAAAAACAGCAGCCACAGAGACAGUUUCUUUUCCCUAGGCUGUCUGAUGAACCCAAAGAAAGCCUUACAUGGAGUAGUCAGCUACUCUGCUGUGAAACAAAAUAAGCAUGCUUGGACUGCCACAACCUGCCUUGUUUUCUUUUUCUUUAUAUAAAAAUAAUAAUAAAGACUUACUGUACAUACUG
Girardinichthys multiradiatus is the source of this 961-nucleotide long non-coding RNA. RefSeq lists it as uncharacterized. The transcript has 2 exons. Lineage: Eukaryota; Metazoa; Chordata; Actinopteri; Cyprinodontiformes; Goodeidae. The record is from RefSeq and is a predicted model, not a curated record.